RNAcentral lists this ribosomal RNA (557 nucleotides) under uncultured bacterium. RNAcentral's name for it is "bacterial SSU rRNA". It matches the Rfam family "Bacterial small subunit ribosomal RNA", at positions 112 to 704 of the family's 1533-position model. The record is from RNAcentral.
AACGCGUGGGAACCUGCCCUUAGGUUCGGAAUAACUCAGAGAAAUUUGAGCUAAUACCGGAUAAUGUCUUCGGACCAAAGAUUUAUCGCCUUUGGAUGGGCCCGCGUAGGAUUAGGUAGUUGGUGGGGUAAAGGCCUACCAAGCCGACGAUCCUUAGCUGGUCUGAGAGGAUGAUCAGCCACACUGGGACUGAGACACGGCCCAGACUCCUACGGGAGGCAGCAGUGGGGAAUAUUGGACAAUGGGCGAAAGCCUGAUCCAGCAAUGCCGCGUGAGUGAUGAAGGCCUUAGGGUUGUAAAGCUCUUUUACCAGGGAUGAUAAUGACAGUACCUGGAGAAUAAGCUCCGGCUAACUCCGUGCCAGCAGCCGCGGUAAUACGGAGGGAGCUAGCGUUGUUCGGAAUUACUGGGCGUAAAGCGCGCGUAGGCGGCUUUUUAAGUCAGGGGUGAAAUCCCGGGGCUCAACCUCGGAACUGCCCUUGAAACUGGAGAGCUAGAAUCCUGGAGAGGCGAGUGGAAUUCCGAGUGUAGAGGUGAAAUUCGUAGAUAUUCGGAAG